RNAcentral lists this ribosomal RNA (569 nucleotides) under Trichoderma harzianum. Its description in RNAcentral is "eukaryotic LSU rRNA". The stretch from base 217 to 370 matches the Rfam family "5.8S ribosomal RNA". The record is from RNAcentral. Lineage: Eukaryota; Fungi; Ascomycota; Sordariomycetes; Hypocreales; Hypocreaceae.
GCGGAGGGAUCAUUACCGAGUUUACAACUCCCAAACCCAAUGUGAACGUUACCAAACUGUUGCCUCGGCGGGAUCUCUGCCCCGGGUGCGUCGCAGCCCCGGACCAAGGCGCCCGCCGGAGGACCAACCAAAACUCUUAUUGUAUACCCCCUCGCGGGUUUUUUUAUAAUCUGAGCCUUCUCGGCGCCUCUCGUAGGCGUUUCGAAAAUGAAUCAAAACUUUCAACAACGGAUCUCUUGGUUCUGGCAUCGAUGAAGAACGCAGCGAAAUGCGAUAAGUAAUGUGAAUUGCAGAAUUCAGUGAAUCAUCGAAUCUUUGAACGCACAUUGCGCCCGCCAGUAUUCUGGCGGGCAUGCCUGUCCGAGCGUCAUUUCAACCCUCGAACCCCUCCGGGGGGUCGGCGUUGGGGAUCGGCCCUCCCUUAGCGGGUGGCCGUCUCCGAAAUACAGUGGCGGUCUCGCCGCAGCCUCUCCUGCGCAGUAGUUUGCACACUCGCAUCGGGAGCGCGGCGCGUCCACAGCCGUUAAACACCCAACUUCUGAAAUGUUGACCUCGGAUCAGGUAGGAAU